This 70-nucleotide transfer RNA is filed under the name Polinices sagamiensis. RNAcentral's name for it is "tRNA-Leu". It matches the Rfam family "tRNA". From Rfam's summary of the family: Transfer RNA (tRNA) molecules are approximately 80 nucleotides in length. Their secondary structure includes four short double-helical elements and three loops (D, anti-codon, and T loops). The record is from RNAcentral. Lineage: Eukaryota; Metazoa; Mollusca; Gastropoda; Littorinimorpha; Naticidae.
AUAAAGAUGGCAGAAAAGUGCAUUAGGCUUAGGACCUAAAUAUAAAGAUUCUCAAGUUCUUUUCUUUAUA